Molecule: ribosomal RNA, 941 nt
Filed under: uncultured archaeon
Lineage: Archaea
Description: bacterial SSU rRNA
Rfam family: Archaeal small subunit ribosomal RNA
Source: RNAcentral
UCCGGUUGAUCCUGCCGGACCCUACUGCUAUCGGGAUAGGACUAAGACAUGCAUGUCGUGCGUCUCUUGGCAAUGAAAGAGACGCGGCAGACGGCUCAGUAACAUGUGGCUAACCUGCCCUUAGGACAGACACAACCCCGGGAAACUGGGGCUAAUGUCUGAUAGGUGUGGGCUCCUGGAAUGGAUCCACACCCAAAGGACUACUAGAUCAUGCUUUAGACGUUGCCUAAGGAUGGGGCCGCAGCCGAUCAGGUUGUUGGCGAGGCGACGGCUCACCAAGCCUAUAACCGGUACGGGCCGCGGGAGCGGUAGCCCGGAGAUGGACACUGAGAUAAGGGUCCAGGCCCUACGGGGCGCAGCAGUCGCGAAAACUCCACAAUGCGCGAAAGCGCGAUGGGGCUAUCCCGAGUGCCGUCCGCUGAGGAUGGCUUUUCUCCAGUGUAAGGAGCUGGAGGAAUAAGGAGAGGGCAAGUCUGGUGUCAGCCGCCGCGGUAAUACCAGCUCUCCGAGUGGUAGGGACGUUUAUUGGGCUUAAAGCGUCCGUAGCCGGCUCAGCAAGUCCUCCGUUAAAUCCAGCGAUUCAAUCGUUGGACUGCGGGGGAUACUGUUGGGCUAGGGGACGGGAGAGGCCGACGGUAUUCUCGGAGUAGGGGUGAAAUCCUAUAAUGCCGGGAGGACCACCAGUGGCGAAGGCUGUCGGCUAGAACGAGCUCAACGGUGAGGGACGGAAGCUGGGGGAGCGAACCGGAUUAGAUACCCGGGUAGUCCCAGCUGUAAACGAUGCGGGCUAGGUGUUAGGGUGGCUACGUGCCACUCUAGUGCCGCAGCGAAGGCAUUAAGCCCGCCGCCUGGGGAGUACGGCCGCAAGGCUGAAACUUAAAGGAAUUGGCGGGGGAGCACCACAAGGCGUGAAGCGUGCGGUUUAAUUGGAGUCAACGCCG